AAAUAGAUAAGUGAUUUUGGAUAAACAGAGAAAAAAGGAGAGAAAAGAAAGCACCACUACAAAAAAUAAUGGGUCCACAGCAGCAUAUUUUCUGGAUUUUAAAGUUUUACCUUUGAAUUUUCAAGUCAAGAGAUGGCAGAGCUCAGAGGUUCUUUUUGUUUUGCUUUCGUUGAGCUAAAAAGAAUCGUUUGCUUCUCAUUCACUCGUUUGGCAUUAUUAAACUGAAUACGAAUCUAAGCCCAGCCAGCAGAGAGUUUAUAAUUCAUCUUCAUCACAGGGUGUUAGAUCCAGUUUCAAGGUGAUUUUACCAUUGUAAUCUUGUGGAAUUAUCAAAUUCCUUUUCCACUCUCAUAGUGAGUCGCUAGAGAGGCGCGAUGGUACGAACUCUACAUUUGCAGGACGCAGGAAUUGAGGUGGUGGAAGCUUACUUGAUGGAUCGAAGCUGUUGAAGCAUUCCUCCCUCACGCCACCUGAGAGAAAAAAGAGAGAAACACGUUUAGUUUCAUCAUGCGCAUACAUACAUACAUCCACGUCUUUGUAGCCGCCCCGAGACUAGCGUUACGUCACAUGGAGGUUGCUUUGUCUGGCUGCGACUGGCAAAGAUUCAAGCGUUACCUCCGUAUUCGCGAUCCCCAAGAAGAACUUGCUCAUAGUCUUCCCUCGAGGAACGAUCCAUCGAUCCAUCGACUUGCUCGACGGAGAGCGAGAGCGCAGCGCACAGAACAGCAAGAACCUGAGGUGAGGCAACGGUAGUAGUAAUUGCUCUCUACGAAAAGGAGCAAAAAGCGUAAAAGAACCGCGUACCUUCGUACUAGCAUGGCGAACAAGCCAGUUCCAUUGCUACCAGCAGCUGUGAUGACGACGCUCCUGGCAGUAGCCGGAAUAGCUUGGACGCUUCUCAG
RNAcentral lists this long non-coding RNA (902 nucleotides) under Selaginella moellendorffii. RNAcentral's name for it is "long non-coding RNA (SMOE_LNC000844)". Lineage: Eukaryota; Viridiplantae; Streptophyta; Lycopodiopsida; Selaginellales; Selaginellaceae. The record is from RNAcentral.